RNAcentral lists this non-coding RNA (28 nucleotides) under Bombyx mori (domestic silkworm). Lineage: Eukaryota; Metazoa; Arthropoda; Insecta; Lepidoptera; Bombycidae. The record is from RNAcentral.
UGAACUGUCGGAUGACUCGUCGCAGUGA